UACAGAGGGGGCAAGCGUUGUUCGGAAUUACUGGGCGUAAAGGGCGCGUAGGCGGCCUGUUAAGUCGAACGUGAAAUCCCCAGGCUCAACCUGGGAACUGCGUCCGAUACUGGCAGGCUUGAAUCCGGGAGAGGGAUGUGGAAUUCCUGGUGUAGCGGUGAAAUGCGUAGAUAUCAGGAGGAAUACCUAUGGCGAAAGCAGGUAUCUGGGCCAUCACUGACGCUGAGCUGCGAAAGCUAGGGGAGCAAACAGG
Molecule: ribosomal RNA, 253 nt
Filed under: uncultured bacterium
Lineage: Bacteria
Description: partial 16S ribosomal RNA
Rfam family: Bacterial small subunit ribosomal RNA
Source: RNAcentral